AGUGAACGCUGGCGAUAGGCCUAACACAUGCAAGUCGAACGGCAGCACAGUAAGAGCUUGCUCUUACGGGUGGCGAGUGGCGGGCGGGUGAGGAAUACAUCGGAAUCUACUUUUUCGUGGGGGAUAACGUAGGGAAACUUACGCUAAUACCGCAUACGACCUACGGGUGAAAGCAGGGGAUCUUCGGACCUUGCGCGAUUGAAUGAGCCGAUGUCGGAUUAGCUAGUUGGCGGGGUAAAGGCCCACCAAGGCGACGAUCCGUAGCUGGUCUGAGAGGAUGAUCAGCCACGCUGGAACUGAGACACGGUCCAGACUCCUACGGGAGGCACCAGUGGGGAAUAUUGGACAAUGGGCGCAAGCCUGAUCCAGCCAUACCGCGUGGGUGAAGAAGGCCUUCGGGUUGUAAAGCCCUUUUGUUGGGAAAGAAAAGCAGCAGGUUAAUACCCCGCUGUUCUGACGGUACCCAAAGAAUAAGCACCGGCUAACUUCGUG
Molecule: ribosomal RNA, 492 nt
Filed under: uncultured bacterium
Lineage: Bacteria
Description: partial 16S ribosomal RNA
Rfam family: Bacterial small subunit ribosomal RNA
Source: RNAcentral